RNAcentral lists this ribosomal RNA (304 nucleotides) under Salmonella enterica subsp. enterica serovar Anatum. RNAcentral's name for it is "partial 23S ribosomal RNA". It matches the Rfam family "Bacterial large subunit ribosomal RNA", at positions 1556 to 1841 of the family's 2925-position model. The record is from RNAcentral. Lineage: Bacteria; Pseudomonadati; Pseudomonadota; Gammaproteobacteria; Enterobacterales; Enterobacteriaceae.
CUGAGGCGUGAUGACGAGGCACUACGGUGCUGAAGCAACAAAUGCCCUGCUUCCAGGAAAAGCCUCUAAGCAUCAGGUAACAUCAAAUCGUACCCCAAACCGACACAGGUGGUCAGGUAGAGAAUACCAAGGCGCUUGAGAGAACUCGGGUGAAGGAACUAGGCAAAAUGGUGCCGUAACUUCGGGAGAAGGCACGCUGACACGUAGGUGAAGUGAUUUACUCAUGGAGCUGAAGUCAGUCGAAGAUACCAGCUGGCUGCAACUGUUUAUUAAAAACACAGCACUGUGCAAACACGAAAGUGGA